AGUGAACGCUGGCGGUAGGCCUAACACAUGCAAGUCGAACGGCAGCACAGUAAUAGCUUGCUCUUACGGGUGGCGAGUGGCGGACGGGUGCGGAAUACAUCGGAAUCUACUUUUUCGUGGGGGAUAACGUAGGGAAACUUACGCUAUUACCGCAUACGACCUACGUGUGAAAUCAUGGGAUCUUCGGACCUUGCGCGAUUGAAUGAGCCGAUGUCGGAUUAGCUAGUUGGCGGGGUAAAGGCCCACCAAGGCGACGAUCCGUAGCUGGUCUGAGAGGAUGAUCAGCCACACUGGAACUGAGACACGGUCCAGACUCCUACGGGAGGCAGCAGUGGGGAAUAUUGGACAAUGGGCGAAAGCCUGAUCCAGCCAUACCGCGUGGGUGAAGAAGGCCUUCGGGUUGUAAAGCCCUUUUGUUGGGAAAGAAAAGCAGCAGGUUAAUACCCCGCUGUUCUGACGGUACCAAAAGAAUAAGCACCGGCUAACUUCGUG
This 492-nucleotide ribosomal RNA is filed under the name uncultured bacterium. RNAcentral's name for it is "partial 16S ribosomal RNA". It matches the Rfam family "Bacterial small subunit ribosomal RNA", at positions 29 to 507 of the family's 1533-position model. The record is from RNAcentral.